UACGGUGGGGGCUAGCGUUGUUCGGAAUUACUGGGCGUAAAGCGCACGUAGGCGGAUUGUUAAGUCGGGGGUGAAAUCCCGGGGCUCAACCCCGGAAUGGCCUCCGAUACUGGCAAUCUUGAGGUCGGGAGAGGUGAGUGGAAUGGCGAGUGUAGAGGUGAAAUUCGCAGAUAUUCGCCGGAACACCAGUGGCGAAGGCGGCUCACUGGCCCGAUACUGACGCUGAGGUGCGACAGCGUAGGGAGCAAACAGG
Molecule: ribosomal RNA, 253 nt
Filed under: uncultured bacterium
Lineage: Bacteria
Description: partial 16S ribosomal RNA
Rfam family: Bacterial small subunit ribosomal RNA
Source: RNAcentral